This is a long non-coding RNA of Passer domesticus (house sparrow), 1414 nucleotides long. RefSeq lists it as uncharacterized. The record is from RefSeq and is a predicted model, not a curated record. The transcript has 3 exons. NCBI's taxonomy places the organism in Eukaryota, Metazoa, Chordata, Aves, Passeriformes, Passeridae.
UUCUUUGCCCACAUCCCUGGGUGAGGCAUUUCUGCACUUUGAAACAACGAAAGUUCCCAACAGAAAUGUUCAAUUAACUGUUAAACACUCUCAUCAAUUCAGGGAUCAUUUCCAAAUCUGAUGGAUGAGUUCAAAAUCUCCAAUUCAUUCUAACCAUCAGGCGGAAAAACAGUUGAACUCCUGAGGAGAAAAGAGCAGAUAAAUGCUGGAAUGAACUUGCAUAUCUUUGAGAGGUGCAGUGCUCUGCAGACAGUGAGUUAUGAACAGGAAAACUUCCUAAGUGUGUACUGUAAGCAGAAUAAUAAUGGGCAAUGGGCUCAAGCUAAAGGUUUUUUCCCUCUUUCCCUCUGGCUUCAUUUAGAUCCCAGUUUAAAAGGCACGGAGUUUGUUUUUGUGUACACACGGGGAAAGUCUCACACCAUGCACAAUUAAAUUAUUUCCCAUGACAGUAAAAAAAAAAAAAAAGUUCUAUUAAAACCAAGAAUCUAAAAAGUAUGCAAAAAUUCAAGUGGAAGAGGAGAAGCUGAAAGAGGACUUAUGAAUUCUUGGUCAAGUGCAUCGAAAGGAUUCAAUCUGCAGGAGCUUCUGAGAGAGUUUUUAAUUAAUGCAACCUGUAAGCCUCUGAAAAAAGGAAAGGAGAGCAGGAAGAGAAAUGUCUGCAUGUGGAGAACUUCGACAUAGAGUUAUCUGCAAUCACCUAUUGCAUUUGUUUGUGCUGUGCAGAGAGUGACUCCUGUGCUCGACUAUUUCCCUUUAAAAACUGAGAAGAGUAGCUCCUGUGCUCGACUUUUUGCCUUGGAAAAACAGACAAGAGUAACUCCUGUGCUAAGCUAUUUCCCUUUAAAAGCAGAAUAACUCCUGUUCUCCACCAUUUCUGUCUAAAAACUGAGAAGAGUAACUCCUGUACUCGGUUAUUUCCCUCUAAAAGCAGAGAAGAAAUAACUCCUGUGCUCAACUAUUUCCCUAUAAAGCAGAGAGGAGCAACUCCUGUGCUCGGCUAUUUCCCUCAAAAAGCAAAGAAUAACUCCUGUGCUCGACUGUCUCCCUUUAAAAGCAGACAAGAGUAACUGUGCUCGGCUAUUUCCCUUUAAAACCCACGGCAGGUUUCAAGUGCAGCCUGGAAUAAACACAAACAAACGUGGUAUUCAUUCAGCCGGGGUUUCUCCCAUUCACGCUCCGCAUUCUCUCACCCUCUCAAAACUGAGGACCGCACGUUUCCAAGCGGGGGGAUGAGGGGGCGCUGGGAUGGAGCUUUUUUUCCUAAGCAACCCUUGCUUUUUCACGAUUCAUUAAACCCUUUCUCCCUCGCGUGUAAUUGGAGCCCUCUCAUUUACAUGCAUGAGGGAUGCAUAACUCUGCGAGAGGUGCUGUGCUCAGGGGGGAUAAAAAAUAAGCCAGAGAGAGAGGAGGCGGG